GCCAUGCCAUUUUUAGAUCAUAUUUUUAAGUUACAUAGGGCUCCCCAGUCUAUUGUUUCUAACAGAGAUAAGAUUUUUACUAAUUUAUUUUGGAUGGGGUUGUUUAAAUGUUUAGGGAAAACACUGGCUUUUAGUACAGCUUACCAUCCUCAAUCUAAUGGCCAAACUAAGAGACUUAACCAUCCACUUGAUGCACUUGGCUUUCUCUUGUAGAAUGGUGGUACAAUUCCUCUUCUCAUGGUGCUAUUGGAAUGGCACCUUUGGAGGCAUUAUAUAGUUAUUUACCAUCAUUUCUUCCUUUCCUAUUGAUUCUCCUACUCUUGGGGCUGUGGACACUUUAUUGCAGGAAAGACAGCAACUAGAUCAAUUGUUGAGAGAAAAUUCGUUGCUGGCACAAAAAAGAAUGAAACAACAAGUGGAUAAGCAGAGAUAAUAGAGGGAAUUUGAUAUGGGGGAUUGGGUUUAUUUGAAGCUGCAGCCAUACAGACAAGCUUCAAUGUCUAUUAGGCAUU
This 512-nucleotide unclassified non-coding RNA is filed under the name Hevea brasiliensis (rubber tree). Lineage: Eukaryota; Viridiplantae; Streptophyta; Magnoliopsida; Malpighiales; Euphorbiaceae. The record is from RNAcentral.